RNAcentral lists this long non-coding RNA (569 nucleotides) under Homo sapiens (human). RNAcentral describes it as "HSALNT0285289". Lineage: Eukaryota; Metazoa; Chordata; Mammalia; Primates; Hominidae. The record is from RNAcentral.
CUCAAUAUUAUUCGUUGUAGAAGUUGAGAAGCGAGCAGUUGGAAUAGUCUAAGCACAGUGGAUAUGUCAGAAAAACUGGAAGUGGAGGCCAUGGAACUUGUUUAUCAAGAUAGUGGUUUCAGUGAAGCAUUAGGGGUCCAGGAUCAAGAGGGCUUCACAAGGGGACUACACAGAGACGUGUUGGAGCUGACAUGAACUGGCAUGCAAGAGAUGAUUAUGGAAUUUUCAGGAAGUUUGCAAACUGGUUGCUAAAUGCAGUAAUUGCUAAAAAGGUUAUAUAUUUGUAUCUAUUGGAUCUGUAUGAUGGAAAUGCUGUGUAUCUGUACAGUGCAUUCCACCAUGGUAUCACUUCCCAAGUCCACAUUCAGUGACAUCAGGUGGUGCUGAUGCUGCUGGUAAAGGGACCACAUUGAGACGCCCUGAUCUGGAUAACAUAGACUAGAAAGCAUCUAUCACUUUCUGGUAGAAGUGUGAAUAUGCCAGAAACCAGCCAAAAUGUCAACAAGAGAAGAAGAAAUGGGCUUGGAAAUUUCACCGAAUAGUUAAUCAGUUGUUUUUAAGGAACCAAU